RNAcentral lists this ribosomal RNA (307 nucleotides) under uncultured bacterium. Its description in RNAcentral is "bacterial SSU rRNA". It matches the Rfam family "Bacterial small subunit ribosomal RNA", at positions 28 to 334 of the family's 1533-position model. The record is from RNAcentral.
GAUGAACGCUGGCGGCGUGCUUAACACAUGCAAGUCGAGCGAGGGAGCACCUUCGGGUGUGAACUAGCGGCGGACGGGUGAGUAACACGUGGGCAACCUGCCUUACAGAGGGGGAUAGCCUUCCGAAAGGAAGAUUAAUACCGCAUAUUAUGAUUUUUCUGCAUGGGAAAGUCAUGAAAGGAGCAAUCCGCUGUAAGAUGGGCCCGCGGCGCAUUAGCUAGUUGGUGAGGUAAGGGCUCACCAAGGCGACGAUGCGUAGCCGACCUGAGAGGGUGAUCGGCCACAUUGGGACUGAGACACGGCCCAA